GACGAACGCUGGCGGCGUACCUAAUACAUGCAAGUAGAACGAGUUGCGAACGGGUGAGUAACGCGUGGUAACCUGCCUCAUAGCGGGGGAUAACUACUGGAAACGGUAGCUAAUACCGCAUACCAUCAGCUGUGCCCAGAUGGGAUUAGCUAGUAGGUGGGGUAAUGGCUCCCCUAGGCGACGAUCCCUAGCUGGUCUGAGAGGAUGACCAGCCACACUGGAACUGAGACACGGUCCAGACUCCUACGGGAGGCAGCAGUGGGGAAUAUUGCACAAUGGGCGAAAGCCUGAUGCAGCCAUGCCGCGUGUGUGAAGAAGGCCUUCGGGUUGUAAAGCACUUUCAGCGAGGAGGCGUUACUCGCAGAAGAAGCACCGGCUAACUCCGUGCCAGCAGCCGCGGUAAUUC
This 406-nucleotide ribosomal RNA is filed under the name uncultured bacterium. RNAcentral describes it as "partial 16S ribosomal RNA". It matches the Rfam family "Bacterial small subunit ribosomal RNA", at positions 28 to 526 of the family's 1533-position model. The record is from RNAcentral.